This 1056-nucleotide ribosomal RNA is filed under the name Escherichia coli. Its description in RNAcentral is "partial 23S ribosomal RNA". It matches the Rfam family "Bacterial large subunit ribosomal RNA", at positions 1065 to 2104 of the family's 2925-position model. Lineage: Bacteria; Pseudomonadati; Pseudomonadota; Gammaproteobacteria; Enterobacterales; Enterobacteriaceae. The record is from RNAcentral.
GGGAAACGAUGUGGGAAGGCCCAGACAGCCAGGAUGUUGGCUUAGAAGCAGCCAUCAUUUAAAGAAAGCGUAAUAGCUCACUGGUCGAGUCGGCCUGCGCGGAAGAUGUAACGGGGCUAAACCAUGCACCGAAGCUGCGGCAGCGACACUAUGUGUUGUUGGGUAGGGGAGCGUUCUGUAAGCCUGUGAAGGUGUACUGUGAGGUAUGCUGGAGGUAUCAGAAGUGCGAAUGCUGACAUAAGUAACGAUAAAGCGGGUGAAAAGCCCGCUCGCCGGAAGACCAAGGGUUCCUGUCCAACGUUAAUCGGGGCAGGGUGAGUCGACCCCUAAGGCGAGGCCGAAAGGCGUAGUCGAUGGGAAACAGGUUAAUAUUCCUGUACUUGGUGUUACUGCGAAGGGGGGACGGAGAAGGCUAUGUUGGCCGGGCGACGGUUGUCCCGGUUUAAGCGUGUAGGCUGGUUUUCCAGGCAAAUCCGGAAAAUCAAGGCUGAGGCGUGAUGACGAGGCACUACGGUGCUGAAGCGACAAAUGCCCUGCUUCCAGGAAAAGCCUCUAAGCAUCAGGUAACAUCAAAUCGUACCCCAAACCGACACAGGUGGUCAGGUAGAGAAUACCAAGGCGCUUGAGAGAACUCGGGUGAAGGAACUAGGCAAAAUGGUGCCGUAACUUCGGGAGAAGGCACGCUGAUAUGUAGGUGAAGCGACUUGCUCGUGGAGCUGAAAUCAGUCGAAGAUACCAGCUGGCUGCAACUGUUUAUUAAAAACACAGCACUGUGCAAACACGAAAGUGGACGUAUACGGUGUGACGCCUGCCCGGUGCCGGAAGGUUAAUUGAUGGGGUUAGCGGUAACGCGAAGCUCUUGAUCGAAGCCCCGGUAAACGGCGGCCGUAACUAUAACGGUCCUAAGGUAGCGAAAUUCCUUGUCGGGUAAGUUCCGACCUGCACGAAUGGCGUAAUGAUGGCCAGGCUGUCUCCACCCGAGACUCAGUGAAAUUGAACUCGCUGUGAAGAUGCAGUGUACCCGCGGCAAGACGGAAAGACCCCGUGAACCUUUAC